GGCGGCGUAAAGCUGUCGCUAAAGGGAUGGACCUGCGAUGCAUUAGCUAGUUGGUAAGGUAACGGCUUACCAAGGCGAUGAUGCAUAGCCGAGUUGAGAGACUGAUCGGCCACAUUGGGGACUGAGACACGGCCCAAAACUCCUACGGGAGGCAGCAGUAGGGAAAUCUUCCACAAUGGACGAAGUCUGAUGGAGCAACGCCGCGUGAGUAAAGAAGGUUUUCGGAUCGUAAAGCUCUGUUGUUGGUGAAGAAGGAUAGAGGUAGUAACUGGCCUUUAUUUGACGGUAAUCAACCAGAAAGUCACGGCUAACUACGUGCCAGCAGCCGCGGUAAU
Molecule: ribosomal RNA, 335 nt
Filed under: uncultured Lactobacillus sp.
Lineage: Bacteria; Bacillati; Bacillota; Bacilli; Lactobacillales; Lactobacillaceae
Description: bacterial SSU rRNA
Rfam family: Bacterial small subunit ribosomal RNA
Source: RNAcentral